RNAcentral lists this ribosomal RNA (320 nucleotides) under uncultured Prevotella sp. RNAcentral's name for it is "partial 16S ribosomal RNA". Lineage: Bacteria; Pseudomonadati; Bacteroidota; Bacteroidia; Bacteroidales; Prevotellaceae. The record is from RNAcentral.
GGAGUUUGGUCCGUGUCUCAGUACCAAUGUGGGGGACCUUCCUCUCAGAACCCCUACUGAUCGUUGCCUCGGUGGGCCGUUACCCCGCCGACAAGCUAAUCAGACGCAUCCCCAUCCCUUAGCGAUAAAUCUUUGGUAUUCGUCAGAUGUCCUCAAAAUACAACAUAGAGUAUUAAUCCGACUUUCGCCGGGCUAUCCUCUACUAAGGGGAAGGUUGGAUACGCGUUACUCACCCGUGCGCCGGUCGUCAGCAAGAAAAGCAAGCUUUCCUCCUGUUACCCCUCGACUUGCAUGUGUUAAGCCUGUAGCUAGCGUUCAUC